Molecule: RNA transcript, 5773 nt
Organism: Megalobrama amblycephala (Wuchang bream)
Lineage: Eukaryota; Metazoa; Chordata; Actinopteri; Cypriniformes; Xenocyprididae
Gene: dnmt3aa
Gene name: DNA (cytosine-5-)-methyltransferase 3 alpha a
Exons: 24
Source: RefSeq, a predicted model, not a curated record
UUAGUGUGCGUGAGGAUUGUGACGUCACUGCGACCCAUCUCUAACGGUCUCUAGGACCCAGCGAACUUCUUCCCGCUGACGGGCCUCUGCGGCGUCUGAGAGCCCGAGACGGCGGAGAGGAGCAGGCCGGUGCCGGGGAGGGUCAGGACGGGGAGAGACGCGGAGGGAAGACGGGCAGUUCGCGACCACCGGAGGGUUCAGGCCCGGGGCUGCAUGGCGAAACGGGGAGAAGAAGGAUUUGAUGGUCUGAAGGUGGAUCAGUUUCAUCGCCACAAAAGUCUCUCAGCAUUUUAAUGUCUUUUAUUUCACUUGUGUUGAUUUCAAAUGCAUCGAUCAGGCCUGUAGUGUGUUUUUGUUUCAUCAUGCCUCUCGAUCUGGACUGUGACGCAGCGGCGAACAAAACGAGUCCAGAGGCGGAACAGGAAGUGUGUGAGGUCACACAUGAAGAGAGAGUGACGGACACACCAACACGAAGAGUCGGACGACCCGCUCGAAAACGCAAAGCACCAGGAGUGGAUAGCUGUGGGCGUGUAAUAGAGGGUGUGGCCUGUAUAAAGCAGGCAGGGUGUAACGGUGAAGCAGACAGUCGGGUUUCUCAGAAAAACCUGGAGCGGAACGACUCCUCCCCUGACUCCACCCACAGGAACUGCACAGACACACCCCCCGGGGCAGACGAAGACUCUGCCCCUUCCACUCCACGGAAGAAACGAGGCCGACGGAAACUCGAGCACCCAGAGCGACACGUGGAGGAGGACGACACCAGCAGCGACACCAGCAGAGCAGAGAGCGAAGGGGGCCGUCUGAGGGGCCGGCAGGGCUGGGACAUCAGUCUAAGGAGACGGCCCGUACCAAGAGAGACCUACCAGGCUGGAGAUCCCUAUUACAUGAGCCGCAGGGAGAAAGAGGAGUGGCUCGCCCGCUGGAAGAAAGUGAAGGAGGAGAAGGCCCACCCGGUGCACACCGUGAGUGACACAAUGGACGACCAAUCAGCAGUGAGUUCUCAGAAGGAGGAGGAGGAGCCAGCCAUCAACCUCCCAUCCACACCCACACCUCAGCAGCAGCACACUGACCCCGCCUCCCCAACGGUUGCCACGACACCUGAGGCACCUCCUGUCGCCUGCGGUAACAAAGUGAUGACGAGGUCCUCAGAGAUGGAUCUGGAAUAUGAGGACGGCCGUGGGUUCGGGAUCGGAGAGCUCAUCUGGGGAAAGUUACGGGGAUUCUCCUGGUGGCCCGGCCGGAUCGUGUCGUGGUGGAUGACGGGUCGCAGUCGGGCCGCUGAAGGAACCCGCUGGGUCAUGUGGUUUGGAGAUGGCAAAUUCUCAGUGGUGUGUGUGGAAAAGCUGUUGCCCUUGAGCACAUUUUGCACAUCUUUUCAUCAGCCCACCUACAACAAACAACCCAUGUACAGAAAAGCCAUCUAUGAAGUUUUACAGACGGCGAGUACGCGUGCAGGUAAACCGUUCCCUGUGUGUGUGUCCACGGAUGACUCGGACACGGUGAAGGGUGUAGAACUGCAAACGCGGCAGAUGAUUGAAUGGGCCAGCGCUGGGUUCCUCCCCUCCGGUGCCAAAGGCCUGGAGCCGCCACCAGCGGAGCGGAACCCUUAUACUGAGGUGUAUCCAGAGAUGUGGGUGGAGCCUGAGGCUGCUGCGUACACAGCUCCGCCCCCUGCCAAGAAACCCAGGAAGAACAGUGUUGAGAAACCCAAAAUUAAAGAGAUUAUAGAUGAAGGAACCCGAGAGAGACUCGUGUAUGAAGUCAGGCAGAAGUCUUGCAAUCUCGAAGAUAUCUGUAUUUCCUGUGGAAGUCAGAACGUAUCACUUGAACAUCCUCUGUUUAUUGGAGCCAUGUGCCAGAGCUGCAAGAACUGUUUCCUGGAGUGCGCGUAUCAGUACGACGAUGACGGUUAUCAGUCGUACUGCACCAUCUGCUGUGGAGGAAGAGAAGUGCUCAUGUGCGGGAACAACAACUGCUGCAGGUGUUUCUGUGUGGAGUGUGUCGAUCUGCUCGUCGGGGUCGGUUCGGCACAGGCCGCUAUCCGUGAAGACCCCUGGAACUGCUACAUGUGCUGCAGCAAGAACGUCUUCGGCCUUCUGAGGCGCAGAGACGACUGGACCUCACGACUGCAGAUGUUCUUCGCCAACAACCACGACCAGGACUUUGAACCACAAAGGUUGUAUACUCCAGUAGCGGCAGAGAAGAGGCAGCCAAUCAGAGUGCUCUCUUUAUUUGAUGGCAUCGCUACAGGGCUGCUGGUGCUGAAGGAUCUGGGUAUUCAGGUGGAGCGGUAUGUGGCAUCAGAGAUAUGUGAAGACUCCAUCACGGUGGGGAUGGUGCGACACCCGGAACGGAUCAUGUAUGUGGGCGAUGUGAGGAACGUCACACGCAAACAUAUUCAGGAGUGGGGGCCUUUUGAUCUUGUGAUCGGUGGAAGCCCCUGCAAUGAUCUGUCUAUCGUCAACCCUGCCAGGAAAGGCCUCUACGAGGGCACCGGGCGUCUGUUUUUUGAGUUCUACCGGCUGCUUCACGAAGCACGACCCAAAGACGGAGACGACCGACCGUUCUUCUGGCUGUUUGAAAAUGUUGUUGCCAUGGGAGUCAGUGAUAAAAGGGACAUCUCACGCUUUCUGGAGUGUAAUCCAGUAAUGAUCGACGCUAAGGAGGUGUCAGCCGCACACAGAGCUCGAUACUUCUGGGGCAACUUACCUGGAAUGAACCGGUACAAUCUACAAUAUGAGCCACUGACUGCCAUGGCAAAUGAUAAACUCGACCUGCAAGACUGUCUGGAGCAUGGACGCACAGCUAAGUGUCCCCAACUAAGCAAGCCAGAGGCGACAGUGGCAAGAACCCAAACUCCAUCAGGUGACAGAAUGGAGAAAAAAACCUUGGGAAAAACCAGGCUCAGUCGGGAGGCCAGUCCUCCUCUGGCCGACGAAAGAACACGUUCGGCAAAGUGCGAACCAUCACAACUCGCUCAAACUCCAUAAAACAGGGCAAAGACCAGCACUAUCCCGUCUAUAUGAACAAUAAAGAGGAUAUCCUGUGGUGCACCGAGAUGGAGAGAGUGUUCGGCUUCCCCGUCCAUUACACUGACGUGUCUAACAUGAGUCGUCUCGCCAGGCAAAGGCUUCUGGGAAGGUCAUGGAGUGUGCCCGUGAUUCGCCACCUCUUCGCUCCUCUGAAGGAAUACUUCGCCUGUUUCUGAAGCUCCGCCCACCACACGGCAUGAUGGCGUCGUGACGUCCCUCCUCUUCCUUUCCUUUCCAAUAAGCUCCACCUUCUUGUGUUCAUUUAUUUUUGCUCGUGGCCUGUGAAUGUCUGGUGCUAUCCCAAGAUUAAUGUUCAACCCACUAGACAGCCACACUUCACAUAUUUAUUUGGAGUCCACAUUUUUAAUUUUCUUGUAUUUUAUUGUCCGUCGUUUUAGAUUUUUUUUUGGUCAUUUUCCAACUGUGACAACUCUCUCUCUCACAAAACUGACAGAGACAAAAUGUGAGUGUGUUUGCAAGUGUAUGUUUGUCCGAGCGCGAAAAUAUAGAGCACAAACCGCUGGUUAACUAGUGUGAAACAGAAGCAGACGCUCUCUGAAUACUCGAACCGGGCGAGUCCUUUUCCCCGACCCUAAAUCUGAUGUUGCAGCGUAAACUAACUAGGUAAGAUGUGGCAACUUUCAAGCGUCAUGAGUCAAGUCAUUGUUCUGACCUCACUGAAAGCGAAAUGCUGCGGUGAACAGUCAAAAUCACACUGAACACAUAUAUAAUGUUUUAUAUAUCUCACGGAAAAUAUGUGCAGGUCAUGCUUCACCCUAAUAUCAAAAGAAAAAAAUCAGAAAUUAUAAACAGCACCAUGAUUUUUAUGACAAAAGCACAUUUCCCCCUCCCAAAUUUCAUUAUAUAUAUAUUAGUGCUGUCAAACGAUUAAUCGCAAUUAAUCGCAUCCAAAAUAAACGUUUGUUUUUACAUAAUACAUGUGUGUGUACUAUGUAUAUUUAUUAUGUAUAUAUACAUAAACAUGUAUGCAUAAAUAUUUCUUAAAUAAAUACAUGUAUGUAUGUGUAUUUAUAUAUACAUAAUAUCAUUAGAGGUCGACCGAUAUCGGAUUUUACCGAAAACUAGGUUGGACCAUACUUGCCGAUAAGUGAUUAAUCAGCCGAUAGUUUUUAAAAUGGAUACUGGAUAAAUAAUAAUAAUAAAAUAACACUAAGUAAAACAGUGCUGAACUUUUUUUAUAAAUAAGUACUGAACCAUGAAAAUGUGCUAAAUGAAAUAAAUUAAUAUGAAUAUAUUAAUUAGAUAAAUAAUCUUUGCCUCUAUUUUAGAACACUUGAUGAUCAUCUAAUCCAAAUACCAAAAUAUGUAUUGCAGUGACGAUAAAGAAAUGAAAUCGGAUGCGUUUCUGAUUUGUUUAUGUUUCUGUCGGCUGCAUGAACUUUCACACGUCGCUUUAAAUAUGCAACUUCGCUGGCUAAUGAAAGCAUAAAAGUGACCAGCUGAAUAUACACUAGUGCAAAUAGAUGAAAACAAUCGUGACGUUAAACGUUUGGGUCGGAUUUGCGUGCGUUUUGUCAUGUUGUUUCAAACGCUUGAGGUGCUACUAAUGUUAGCGUCCUCUGAGCCUGAUCACAUACAUAGGGUAGCCUAGCACUGCUGUUCUUUUUCUGCUAAUGCAGCAUCUAGUCAGCAAAUUAAUUAUUUUAUAAUGAUAUGACAGCAUGUACUGUAGUGUACUGUAUUCAACCAUUUCGCUGUCGGUGUUUUAAAUGCGAUCUCCUGCAGCCUCAUGUGUCAAAGUAAACAACAGCGCAGUGUUAGUAUUUAUUUGGCCUCUAGAGGCCGCUAAUCUACUGUAUGAUGACGAGCAGACCCUUUUCAGCCGCUCCAGUCUCCUAAUAUAGCUCUUCCAACGGAAAAAACUAUCAGCAAGGAUUUUUGCCGAUAACCGUUUGUUCCACCAAUCAACUAUCGGUGCCGAUUAAUCGAUAAAUCGGUCGACCUCUAAAUAUCAUGUUUAUGAAUACGUGUAUAUUUAUAUUUUUAUAUUUAUAUGUAAUUUAUAUUAUAUAAAAAUAUAAAUAUUAAUUUCCCAAAUUUCAUUGUAAUGCAAAUAUUAAUUUUUGUAGCAUUUAUUGUAAUUGAUGCCAACAUUUUUAUAUAUAUAUAUAUAUAUAUAUAUAUAUAUAUUACAAUAGUAGUUAAACAUCCAGAUGCAUUAUGGUAAUGAUAAUUUGGGGGAAAAUGUGGUUAAAGUUGUUAUAAAAAUAAAUCCAAAAGGUCCUAAAAAUAGGUUUUGUUUUUCGAUUUUUGGAUGAAUUUUUACCUCAGACAUAUUUACAAGAGAUUAAGCAUUAAGCAGUGCUGUGUAUUAUUUCUACCAUUACAUGUAUAGAAAUCAGGUGAAUCGCGGUUAGUUUGGACAGCCUUAUAUUAACAUUAUCACUUGCCGAAUUAUCAUGUCGUGCCUGGUUAGGAUACGUGUCUGUAACAUCGACACAAACAUCAUUUUCAUGCAUAAACACACUUUUCCUGUGAGAGAGAAGAUGUGCUUGAAGAAUCAACAAUACACUGUUUACAGGUUACGCUCUUAAUACGGUACUACUAAACUACAGUAACUAUUCACUCACAACUCCACUAACUCGACUAUGGUGCUCUCUCUCUCUCUCUCUCUCUCUGUCUCCCUGUCUCUCUCAGCAAUACAAACGCAGCACGCAGUCCUGUAUGAUGCCUUUCUGCUGGAGCCUAUAGGGCACAUGUGAGAGAGCUGUGUCACAUCA